UAGGCUCAGAUUGAACGCUGGCGGCAGGCUUAACACAUGCAAGUCGAGCGGGCGAGGUUACUUCGGUAACUGAGCUAGCGGCGGACGGGUGAGUAAUGCUUAGGAAUCUGCCUAUUAGUGGGGGACAACAUUCCGAAAGGAAUGCUAAUACCGCAUACGCCCUACGGGGGAAAGCAGGGGAUCUUCGGACCUUGCGCUAAUAGAUGAGCCUAAGUCAGAUUAGCUAGUUGGUGGGGUAAAGGCCUACCAAGGCGACGAUCUGUAGCGGGUCUGAGAGGAUGAUCCGCCACACUGGGACUGAGACACGGCCCAGACUCCUACGGGAGGCAGCAGUGGGGAAUAUUGGACAAUGGGCGAAAGCCUGAUCCAGCCAUGCCGCGUGUGUGAAGAAGGCCUUUUGGUUGUAAAGCACUUUAAGCGAGGAGGAGGCUACCGAGAUUAAUACUCUUGGAUAGUGGACGUUACUCGCAGAAUAAGCACCGGCUAACUCUGUGCCAGCAGCCGCGGUAAUACAGAGGGUGCGAGCGUUAAUCGGAUUUACUGGGCGUAAAGCGUGCGUAGGCGGCUUUUUAAGUCGGAUGUGAAAUCCCUGAGCUUAACUUAGGAAUUGCAUUCGAUACUGGGAAGCUAGAGUAUGGGAGAGGAUGGUAGAAUUCCAGGUGUAGCGGUGAAAUGCGUAGAGAUCUGGA
This 689-nucleotide ribosomal RNA is filed under the name Acinetobacter johnsonii. RNAcentral describes it as "bacterial SSU rRNA". It matches the Rfam family "Bacterial small subunit ribosomal RNA", at positions 19 to 702 of the family's 1533-position model. The record is from RNAcentral. Lineage: Bacteria; Pseudomonadati; Pseudomonadota; Gammaproteobacteria; Moraxellales; Moraxellaceae.